RNAcentral lists this ribosomal RNA (404 nucleotides) under uncultured prokaryote. Its description in RNAcentral is "bacterial SSU rRNA". It matches the Rfam family "Bacterial small subunit ribosomal RNA", at positions 355 to 776 of the family's 1533-position model. RNAcentral also lists the same sequence under 1 other name. The record is from RNAcentral.
UGGGGAAUAUUGGGCAAUGGGCGAAAGCCUGACCCAGCAACGCCGCGUGAAGGAAGAAGGUUUUCGGAUCGUAAACUUCUAUCCUUGGUGAAGAUAAUGACGGUAGCCAAGAAGGAAGCCCCGGCUAACUACGUGCCAGCAGCCGCGGUAAUACGUAGGGGGCAAGCGUUGUCCGGAAUGAUUGGGCGUAAAGGGCGCGUAGGCGGCCUGGUAAGUCUGGAGUGAAAGUCCUGCUUUUAAGGUGGGAAUUGCUUUGGAUACUGCUGGGCUUGAGUGCAGGAGAGGUAAGUGGAAUUCCCGGUGUAGCGGUGAAAUGCGUAGAGAUCGGGAGGAACACCAGUGGCGAAGGCGACUUACUGGACUGUAACUGACGCUGAGGCGCGAAAGUGUGGGGAGCAAACAGG